RNAcentral lists this long non-coding RNA (501 nucleotides) under Gouania willdenowi (blunt-snouted clingfish). Its description in RNAcentral is "lncRNA (ENSGWIG00000019256.1)". The record is from RNAcentral. Lineage: Eukaryota; Metazoa; Chordata; Actinopteri; Blenniiformes; Gobiesocidae.
GACGGAUGUAUUUUGUUGGUCUGGUUUCUCGCUGCUCCGGCUUUGCAAACAUAUAUUAUUGGACAUUUGGUUCUUACAACGGUGCAAAAACAUGAACUUCGUUGCUGGCUAUUGUCUUUCUCUACUAAUUAUAAUAGUAGUACAAUGUAAACCAUCUUGCCAUCCCUAUCAGAAGGAUGGUCUCACACACUACCCGUUGUCAGACCCAGAUCGGGUUUUGAAUGCCCCACCCACCGACUGUGAUGUUUCAUACGAACUUGAAAACGCCACUAAUAUCGCCAACCUGAACGGAAACAAACUCCCUUACGUGAUAGAUAUUACCAUCAAUGGACUCACAACCACGAUGUGUUUCACAUAUAUUGGCAUCAGGUGCGCCUGCAACUCAGAGGGGAUUCUAUAUGAAGUACACUGUAACAUCAGCUGCAAUGAAACAACUCCCUCCACUGUGGAUCAAAGCAUCAAACCCACUCCCUCCACUGUGGAUCAAAGCAUCAAACCCAC